This 253-nucleotide ribosomal RNA is filed under the name uncultured bacterium. Its description in RNAcentral is "partial 16S ribosomal RNA". It matches the Rfam family "Bacterial small subunit ribosomal RNA", at positions 524 to 776 of the family's 1533-position model. The record is from RNAcentral.
UACAGAGGUCUCAAGUGUUGUUCGGACUCAUUGGGCGUAAAGGGUGCGUAGGUGGCGCCGUAAGUCGGGUGUGAAAUUUCGGAGCUUAACUCCGAAACUGCAUUCGAUACUGCGGUGCUUGAGGACUGGAGAGGAGACUGGAAUUCAUGGUGUAGCAGUGAAAUGCGUAGAGAUCAUGAGGAAGACCAGUGGCGAAGGCGGGUCUCUGGACAGUUCCUGACACUGAGGCACGAAGGCCAGGGGAGCAAACGGG